RNAcentral lists this ribosomal RNA (889 nucleotides) under Calonectria candelabrum. Its description in RNAcentral is "Calonectria candelabra partial large subunit ribosomal RNA". It matches the Rfam family "Eukaryotic large subunit ribosomal RNA", at positions 24 to 942 of the family's 3401-position model. Lineage: Eukaryota; Fungi; Ascomycota; Sordariomycetes; Hypocreales; Nectriaceae. The record is from RNAcentral.
UACCCCGGUGAAACUUAAGCAUAUCAAUAAGCGGAGGAAAAGAAACCAACAGGGAUUGCCCUAGUAACGGCGAGUGAAGCGGCAACAGCUCAAAUUUGAAAUCUGGCCCUCGGGUCCGAGUUGUAAUUUGUAGAGGAUGCUUUUGGUGAGGUACCUUCCGAGUUCCCUGGAACGGGACGCCAUAGAGGGUGAGAGCCCCGUCUGGUUGGAUACCAAACCUCUGUAAAGCUCCUUCGACGAGUCGAGUAGUUUGGGAAUGCUGCUCUAAAUGGGAGGUAUAUGUCUUCUAAAGCUAAAUACCGGCCAGAGACCGAUAGCGCACAAGUAGAGUGAUCGAAAGAUGAAAAGCACUUUGAAAAGAGAGUUAAAAAGUACGUGAAAUUGUUGAAAGGGAAGCGCUUAUGACCAGACUUGGACUUGGUUGAUCAUCCUGGGUUCUCCCUGGUGCACUCUUCCAGUUCAGGCCAGCAUCAGUUCGCUGCGGGGGAUAAAAGUUUUGGGAAUGUGGCUCCCUCGGGAGUGUUAUAGCCCAUUUCAUAAUACCCUGCUCCGGACUGAGGUUCGCGCAUCUGCAAGGAUGCUGGCGUAAUGGUCAUCAGCGACCCGUCUUGAAACACGGACCAAGGAGUCGUCUUCGUAUGCGAGUGUUCGGGUGUUAAACCCCUACGCGUAAUGAAAGUGAACGCAGGUGAGAGCUUCGGCGCAUCAUCGACCGAUCCUGAUGUUCUCGGAUGGAUUUGAGUAAGAGCAUACGGGGCCGGACCCGAAAGAAGGUGAACUAUGCCUGUAUAGGGUGAAGCCAGAGGAAACUCUGGUGGAGGCUCGCAGCGGUUCUGACGUGCAAAUCGAUCGUCAAAUAUGGGCAUGGGGCGAAAGACUAAUUCGACCU